UGGGGAAUUUUGGACAAUGGGCGAAANCCUGNUCCAGCAAUGCCGCGUGUGUGAAGAAGGCCUUCGGGUUGUAAAGCACUUUUGUCCGGAAAGAAAUCCUUGGCUCUAAUACAGUCGGGGGGAUGACGGUACCGGAAGAAUAAGCACCGGCUAACUACGUGCCAGCAGCCGCGGUAAUACGUAGGGUGCAAGCGUUAAUCGGAAUUACUGGGCGUAAAGCGUGCGCAGGCGGUUUGCUAAGACCGAUGUGAAAUCCCCGGGCUCAACCUGGGAACUGCAUUGGUGACUGGCAGGCUAGAGUAUGGCAGAGGGGGGUAGAAUUCCACGUGUAGCGGUGAAAUGCGUAGAGAUGUGGAGGAAUACCGAUGGCGAAGGCAGCCCCCCUGGGCCAAUACUGACGCUCAUGCACGAAAGCGUGGGGAGCAAACAGGAUUAGAUACCCUGGUAGUCCACGCCCUAAAACGAUGUCAACUAGUUGUUGGGGGAUUCAUUUCCUUAGUAACGUAGCUAACGCGUGAAGUUGACCGCCUGGGGAGUACGGUCGCAAGAUUAAAACUUAAAUGAAUUGACGGGGUCAUA
Molecule: ribosomal RNA, 579 nt
Filed under: uncultured bacterium
Lineage: Bacteria
Description: partial 16S ribosomal RNA
Rfam family: Bacterial small subunit ribosomal RNA
Source: RNAcentral